GACGAACGCUGGCGGCGUGCUUAACACAUGCAAGUCGAACGGAAAGGCCCUGCUUUUGUGGGGUGCUCGAGUGGCUAACGGGUGAGUAACACGUGAGUAACCUGCCCUUGACUUUGGGAUAACUUCAGGAAACUGGGGCUAAUACCGGAUAGGAGCUCCUGCUGCAUGGUGGGGGUUGGAAAGUUUCGGCGGUUGGGGAUGGACUCGCGGCUUAUCAGCUUGUUGGUGGGGUAGUGGCUUACCAAGGCUUUGACGGGUAGCCGGCCUGAGAGGGUGACCGGCCACAUUGGGACUGAGAUACGGCCCAGACUCCUACGGGAGGCAGCAGUGGGGAAUAUUGCACAAUGGGCGGAAGCCUGAUGCAGAAACGACGCGUGCGGGAUGACGGCCUUCGGGUUGUAAACCGCUUUCGCCUGUGACGAAGCGUGAGUGAAGGUAAUGGGUAAAGAAGCACCGGCUAACUAAGUG
Molecule: ribosomal RNA, 468 nt
Filed under: uncultured bacterium
Lineage: Bacteria
Description: partial 16S ribosomal RNA
Rfam family: Bacterial small subunit ribosomal RNA
Source: RNAcentral